AGUGAACGCUGGCGGCAGGCCUAACACAUGCAAGUCGAACGGUAACACGAAGAGGGUUGGCUCUUUCCUGUCGCGAGGGGCGGGGGGGUGAGAAGUAUAGGAAACUGCACUAUGGCGGGGGGGAAAUCGUGGAAACGGUAGCGAUAACAGCAUAUAGUAGCAACGGCAGAGAGCAGGAGAUUCGGGCAUCUUGCCCGCGGGUGUGCGCCGAUGGCGGAUUAGCUAGUUGGGGGGGUAAGGGCUCACCAAGGCGACGAUCCGUAGCUGGUCUGAGAGGAUGAUCAGCCACACUGGAACUGAGACACGGUCCAGACUCCUACGGGAGGCAGCAGUGGGGAAUAUUGCACAAUGGGCGCAAGCCUGAUGCAGCCAUGCCGCGUGUAUGAAGAAGGCCUUCGGGUUGUAAAGCACUUUUAUCGGGGAAGAAGAGAGGAAAGUUAAUACCUUUGCGUAUUGACGGUACCCAAAGAAUAAGCACCGGCUAACUCCGUG
RNAcentral lists this ribosomal RNA (492 nucleotides) under uncultured bacterium. Its description in RNAcentral is "partial 16S ribosomal RNA". It matches the Rfam family "Bacterial small subunit ribosomal RNA", at positions 30 to 507 of the family's 1533-position model. The record is from RNAcentral.